Molecule: non-coding RNA, 29 nt
Filed under: Homo sapiens (human)
Lineage: Eukaryota; Metazoa; Chordata; Mammalia; Primates; Hominidae
Source: RNAcentral
GGCAUAAGCAAAAGAACAGCAGGUGCAGC